This is an RNA transcript of Glycine soja, 1721 nucleotides long. It is a transcript of the gene named clustered mitochondria protein-like, with no coding region annotated. The record is from RefSeq and is a predicted model, not a curated record. NCBI's taxonomy places the organism in Eukaryota, Viridiplantae, Streptophyta, Magnoliopsida, Fabales, Fabaceae. The transcript is spliced from 7 exons.
GGGACAAAUGCCACCACUCAUAGGCUUGAAGGCGCAAGUCCAAACUUCAAGGCACCUUCACUCUCUUCAACCCGAACCGCUUCCAAACCUCCGAAAUCCACUCUCAAAUUCCUCUGUAGCUACGGCGGCAAAAUUCUCCUUCGUUACCCCGAUGGCAAGCUCCGUUACCUCGGCGGCCAUACCUGCGUCCUCGCCGUCGAUCGCUCCAUUCCAUUCUCCGAGCUAUUGCUGAAGCUAGAGGAGCUCUGCGGUGCCUCUGUGAGGCACCUCCGCUGCCAAUUACCUUCUGAAGACCUCGAUGCUCUUGUCUCCAUCACCUCCGACGAGGAUCUCACAAAACCUCAUCGAGGAAUACGAUCGCGUUUCAUUGCCGAAAUUACCACAGACAUGAUGCAGCCAGGGCUGAGAAUGCUUUGACUCUUCUUUAUGGCAAUGAGCCAAUUGGCAUGCAAAGAGACUGGAAUGAAGAGCUGCAGUCUUGUAGAGAAUUUCCUCGUACAUCUCCUCAGAAGAGGAUUUUGCGGGAUAGGGCACUUUAUAAAGUGACAUCAGACUUUGUUGAUGCAGCUAUUAAUGGUGCUAUUGGAGUGAUCAGUGGUUGCAUUCCUCCGAUAAACCUGACUGACCCUGAAUGCUUUCACAUGUAUGUGCACAACAAUAUAUUCUUUAGUUUUGCUAUUGAUGCUGACCUUGAGAAGCUGUCAAAGAAACUUGUGGAUGCUAAUUCAAAAUCUUGGAGCUCCAACUCUUUGCAAAGUUCUUCUGAUAAAGAUUCCAUUCCAGUUCAUGGAGAAAGUCAGGUUCCUAAUGGGGGUAAAGAUGAUGGUUCAAGUUCUGAAGAUCUUAAUAGCACAGAAAUUAGCGAACUUUAAAAUGUUUCAUUUUAACGUAAAAUAUUAUUAUAUGGUGAGAAAAAAGAAUUAGGACAUUCUGAAAUGUGUUAAGUUGGUUUUAAAACAUGGCAAGUCUUUUAAAUUUCUUAUUUCUAUUAGCUUAUAGGAUGAACAUAUGUUGUAUAUUAUUUUUCUUCAGUUAUUUUCUUUAUUAUUAUAUGAACUGAUUUUAUAUUCAUUUCAGUACAUAAAUAUAUUUUCAAUAUCUUUUAUAAGUGCUCCUUUUAUAAGUGCUCCUUUUUAUAUUCACAAGUUGUUAGAGAACUAAUGUAUUCUUUUACUUCAAUUUGAUUAUAAUAUUUUUUUAUUAAUUACUAUUUUUCUCUGUUUUUUAACUCUAGAGUACGUACGGAUUUUAUGCAUUAAUUCUUCAGUGUAAACUUAUUAAAAGACUUUCAAUGAAAAAUAAGUAGCCAUAUAUAUUAAGAUUGUGUGAUUUCUAUGAUAUUAAUUAAUUAGGUAAAAGGAAAAUGGGUGUAGAUAUUUUCAACUCUUAAAAAGCUUCACGAAUCUCACAGCUAUUGGUGCAGCAGUUUUCGCAUAUUGAGGUAGAGAACCACUUCAAGAAGGUUCAUUUGCUACUCCAAAUGCAUUUGUACCUGCUUGGAAAAAUUCUGGAGACCCAAGAAGGAAGUAUAUAUGCCUUUGGUUAAGUGAAGGCUCUGCCAAAACUCUCCUCAGCCAUCUCCAGGAUCUUAUUUAACAGGAAGAUGAUGGACUUUUCUCAUGUCUUUUAUUUCCUUUUGGUGGUUCUUUGGCCAGAAUGUGGUUGGCAGCCAGUGUCUCUGACAGAUAUGAUUACCUCUUCUGCAGUUAAAAAAGUGUAUA